GAUGAACGCUGGCGGCGUGCCUAAUACAUGCAAGUCGAGCGAACAGACGAGGAGCUUGCUCCUCUGACGUUAGCGGCGGACGGGUGUGUAACACGUGUAUAACCUACCUAUAUGUCUGGGAUAACUUCGGGACACCGGAUCUUAUCCCGGAUAAUAUCUUGAACCGCAUGGUUCAAUAGUGAAAGACGGUUUUGCUGUAUCUUAUCGAUGGAUCUGCGCCGCAUUAGCUAGUUGGUACGGUAACGGCUUACCAAGGCAACGAUGCGUAGCCGACCUGAGAGGGUGAUCGGCCACACUGGAGCUGGGACACGGUCCAUGCUCCUACGGGAGGCAGCAGUAGGGAAUCUGCCGCAAUAGGCGAAAGCCUGACGGAGCAACGGCGCGUGAGUGAUGAAGGUCUUCGGAUCGUAAAACUCGGUUAUUAGGGAAAAACAAAUGUGUAAGUAACUAUGCACGUAUUGACGGUACCUAGUCAGAAAGCCACGGCUAACUACGUG
RNAcentral lists this ribosomal RNA (497 nucleotides) under uncultured bacterium. RNAcentral describes it as "partial 16S ribosomal RNA". It matches the Rfam family "Bacterial small subunit ribosomal RNA", at positions 28 to 507 of the family's 1533-position model. The record is from RNAcentral.